RNAcentral lists this ribosomal RNA (429 nucleotides) under Chloroflexota bacterium. RNAcentral describes it as "Chloroflexi bacterium partial 16S ribosomal RNA". It matches the Rfam family "Bacterial small subunit ribosomal RNA", at positions 355 to 776 of the family's 1533-position model. Lineage: Bacteria; Bacillati; Chloroflexota. The record is from RNAcentral.
UGGGGAAUGUUGCACAAUGGGCGCAAGCCUGAUGCAGCCAUGCCGCGUGUAUGAAGAAGGCCUUCGGGUUGUAAAGUACUUUCAGUCGGGAGGAAGGUGGUAAGGUUAAUAACCUUGGCAAUUGACGUUACCGACAGAAGAAGCACCUGCUAACUCCGUGCCAGCAGCCGCGGUAAUACGGAGGGUGCAAGCGUUAAUCGGAAUUACUGGGCGUAAAGCGCACGCAGGCGGUUGAUUGAGUCAGAUGUGAAAUCACCCGGCUUAACCAGGGGAUUGCAUCUGAUACUGGGCAGCGAGAGGCUUGUAGAGGGGGGUAGAAUGCCAUGUGUAGCGGUGAAAUGCGUAGAGAUGUGGAGGAAUACCGGUGGCGAAGGCGGCCCCCUGGACAAAGACUGACGCUCAGGUGCGAAAGCGUGGGGAGCAAACAGG